GCUUAAGGCCAUACCACCCUGUCUGUGCAUGAUCUCGUCAGAUCUCGGAAGCUAAGCAGGGUCGGGCCUAGUUAGUGCUUGGAUGGGAGACCGCCUGGGAAUACCAGGUGCUGUAAGCU
RNAcentral lists this ribosomal RNA (119 nucleotides) under Sinocyclocheilus rhinocerous. Lineage: Eukaryota; Metazoa; Chordata; Actinopteri; Cypriniformes; Cyprinidae. The record is from RNAcentral.